Molecule: ribosomal RNA, 390 nt
Filed under: uncultured bacterium
Lineage: Bacteria
Description: bacterial SSU rRNA
Rfam family: Bacterial small subunit ribosomal RNA
Source: RNAcentral
GACGAACGCUGGCGGCGUGCUUAACACAUGCAAGUCGAACGGUGAACCUUCUUCGGGAGGGGAUCAGUGGCGAACGGGUGAGUAACACGUGGGCAACCUGCCUCUAGCUCUGGGAUAACUCCGGGAAACCGGGGCUAAUACCGGAUAUGACCUGCCUGGGCAUCUGGGUGGGGUGGAAAGUUUUUUCGGCGUAGGGAGUGGGCCCGGCGGCCUAUCAGCUUGUUGGUGGGGUGAUGGCCUACCAAGGCGACGACGGGUAGCCGGCCUGAGAGGGCGACCGGCCACACUGGGACUGAGACACGGCCCAGACUCCUACGGGAGGCAGCAGUGGGGAAUAUUGCGCAAUGGGCGAAAGCCUGACGCAGCGACGCCGCGUGAGGGAUGACGGCC